GGAAACAGAGCCUUGCAAAUGUAAAAUUAGUUAAGAGUAGAUAUGUGCAAUCACAAAAAUUUCUUACAUUCAUGCGCACAAUGUCUUGCAUAUUAUUAGAAUUCACUUCUCUUUGACAUGGAAGCUUGUAGAACUGUUUCCCAUUCCACUUUUAUUUAUUUAUUGCAUGGCUUAAUUAAUUGUAUCUCUACUUGUAUAUGUCAUUUUUGUUCUUAAAAUAUUGCUUAUUGGCUGGCGUGUCUCUUCCCGUGUACAGUUUGGACAGGUCGGAGAUGGUGACUCGACCUUGUGAUUACUUGCGUUGGAGCUCAAUUGAGGCGAGUUUCAGCUAGAACAUCUUGUGAUUUCUGCAUCGUACCAUCCCCCAUCCACUUACUGGUUGGAAGAAACUCACAUCGAGUUUUGCACCACUGAAUUAUAAGAAUUCCCAGAAUAUGUACACACAAAUAAUGAAAUCUUAAAAACUUUUACGACUUCCUUUGAAUACCGCGGUGAUGCUGACAGCCUUCCUUCUUGCAGACAAAGGCACAUCGAGUCUGUUUACUUGAAUUUGGAUAUGCAAGUAAAACUCCACCUUAGCUUCUUCGAUCCAACAACACAAGCUAUUGUGGUGAUGUGUUGAAAACCAAAACUUCUUUAGUUCUCGCUUCCUUCUCUUUAUAAUGAGUUGAGAACAUGAUUUGCAGAUUUCUGGUUUGCCCUUGGAAACUGACAAUUUGCAGAAAUUUGUUUAAAAGAUCGACAUAUGGAGGUCAUUUUUCUUUACUUUUCUCAAUAAGCGUUGGCUGUUUUUCAUGAAAGGACGAUAAACAGGAUGUAGUUCCCAAAUUAUUUGAGGAUGGAUCAAAUGGAUAAGUGCUUCUACAGUGAUGAUGCAUGUAUUUGUGGAUGCGUUUCUCAGUUAACCCUGAGUUGUUGUUCAUGUGGAGUGAAUUAUGCAUGAAGUAUGACAAACUUCACUUGUGUCUGCAAUGGAAGUGCCCAUUAACACAUCCAGUAGUAUUUAAUUUUGGGCCUUGCCUCCCUGGGCCGAUGUAAUUCAUUUGGCUUACAAACAAGUAUUUUUUUUCUCGUUAAUUUCAAUCAAUACACCGGAAAAGGUCUUAUGAUUUCAAUAGUUUUAGUUGAAAUAUGUUUUGUAGAAUAACAUCUAGUGCACUAGCAUAUUUUGCUGCGUUUUCUGACAAAAAUCUCUAAAUUUUAUCCGUCGGAAUUCCAAAGAAAUUAUACCAAAGGUCAUAGAAGCUCUGAGUGUUGAUGGAUCUGGUGGCCACCAGAUCGAAGCUUCAACUGUUGAUCCAUCAUCAGAGAAAACCUGGGUUUCACCAUCUGAAAGAUAUAUACCACUGUUCCUGAUGAAUCUGUAAGUUCGCAUUUCUAAAAUUUCAACAAUCAUAGUUGGGACACCAAGUUGGACAGGCGUAAAUUCACCUUCUUUUGUCACCAUUUUGACAAAAGGCAUCAAUCACAUGUAGCAGCAUGGUAAUGAUAAUAAAAUGGCUGCUGUCAUUUAGCAUGCCCUAAAGGACUGUAGGUGGCCCAGCUUGUAGAUAUCAAAGAACAAAGAACAAAAAUAAAAAAGAAAGAAAAGACAUUGUCACCAAAGGAAAUUGCUUCUAGGAAUUCAAGCUAAAUUUUCUAUUUCAGGAUUGAAUUCGCAAUGUUAAUUAGUGUUUGACACAUGAAGCAUACACGUGGAAAUCAUUGCGAUUGUAUAAUGUUGUUAUAAAAACACAUCUCAGGAUAUCAAAAUUUUUAUCAUAGUCAAAAUAUUUACAUGGUCAUUCCUUCAAUAACAGUUAUGAUUUGUUCUUCCUUUUCAUGUUAUUUUUUAGCAGUACUUUUCAAAGACUUACUGUAAUUUUAACAAUCUUCAAACUAGUUUUGAUUAAUGAAGAGUGCAUAUUUUGAAGGGGAAAAAAAUCAAUGCAGUGAGUUUGCAAGAACACUUCCUAUAUGUUCUGCAUUUGAAAAGUGUGCAUAGAAUGAAAUGUCAGAUAAAUCUCCAUGCCAGAACAUGUUUUUCAAAGCUUCUUAGAGUGUUUAGUAAUGUUUUUGCUCAAAAGAACCCAAAUUAACAGCCAUCAUCACCACAAUAAUGAUGAUGACAACAGUGGUGUACUAUGUGAUAUCUCAAGAUUUUAAUCUUUACUUGCUGUGUAUCUGUUGGUUCAGAGGCAAACAGUUGCGUUUGGGGGUAAUGGGAAUGAUGUCAAACGGAUGCGGAUUUGAUUACUCCAGAUCCAUGGAGCACCAAUAACCUUUUCUUCCGUCCCCGAGCUUCCAUUAUCCGUCUUUCUGAACCAGGCAAUGCCUGAACUGUCAUAUUUUGCACUCUUAUUACCGCUGAAUGUAAAUUCUUCCUGGACAGAACGUUGUUUUUGGUUAUAAAUUUAUUGAGAGGAAAUAUAUUUGACUCUGCAGAUUCAACUUUUUGUUCAAAAGCCAACUGACCAGGCAAAAAGGAACCGCGAUUCAGCCUGGUUUGUUCUCCUGGUGAAACUAUCCAUGUUGAUCGGCGUGUCCCUCUAUGCAUACACAGGAAUAUUUUUACAAAACCGGUUCCUAUGGCUGAGCAGUAUUUCAUUUUGCAUGCGAAAUGAUGGCUAUUGACAGAAAUCUGUCUCCAUUUUUCUCUAGUUUCAUCUUAUCAACAUAAACAAAGCCGACAAAUGCGCCCCUCAGUUGUACAUAUGAUCUUAACAACGUUCCGCGCUAGCCAUUUAGUCAA
Long non-coding RNA from Populus euphratica (Euphrates poplar), 2731 nucleotides. RefSeq lists it as uncharacterized. The transcript has 2 exons. The record is from RefSeq and is a predicted model, not a curated record. NCBI's taxonomy places the organism in Eukaryota, Viridiplantae, Streptophyta, Magnoliopsida, Malpighiales, Salicaceae.